RNAcentral lists this ribosomal RNA (497 nucleotides) under uncultured bacterium. Its description in RNAcentral is "partial 16S ribosomal RNA". It matches the Rfam family "Bacterial small subunit ribosomal RNA", at positions 28 to 507 of the family's 1533-position model. The record is from RNAcentral.
GAGGAAAGAGGGCGGCGUGCCUAAUACAUGCAAGUCGAGCGAACGGACGAGAAGCUUGCUUCUCUGAUGUUAGCGGCGGACGGGUGAGUAACACGUGGAUAACCUACCUAUAAGACUGGGAUAACUUCGGGAAACCGGAGCUAAUACCGGAUGAUAUUUUGAACCGCAUGGUUCAAAAGUGAAAGACGGUCUUGCUGUCACUUAUAGAUGGAUCCGCGCUGCAUUAGCUAGUUGGUAAGGUAACGGCUUACCAAGGCAACGAUGCAUAGCCGACCUGAGAGGGUGAUCGGCCACACUGGAACUGAGACACGGUCCAGACUCCUACGGGAGGCAGCAGUAGGGAAUCUUCCGCAAUGGGCGAAAGCCUGACGGAGCAACGCCGCGUGAGUGAUGAAGGUCUUCGGAUCGUAAAACUCUGUUAUUAGGGAAGAACAUAUGUGUAAGUAACUGUGCACAUCUUGACGGUACCUAAUCAGAAAGCCACGGCUAACUACGUG